UUUGAUGGCGACCGGCGCACGGGUGAGUAACACGUAUCCAACCUGCCGAUGACUCGGGGAUAGCCUUUCGAAAGAAAGAUUAAUACCCGAUGGCAUAGUUCUUCCGCAUGGUAGAACUAUUAAAGAAUUUCGGUCAUCGAUGGGGAUGCGUUCCAUUAGGUUGUUGGCGGGGUAACGGCCCACCAAGACUACGAUGGAUAGGGGUUCUGAGAGGAAGGUCCCCCACAUUGGAACUGAGACACGGUCCAA
This 249-nucleotide ribosomal RNA is filed under the name uncultured bacterium. Its description in RNAcentral is "partial 16S ribosomal RNA". It matches the Rfam family "Bacterial small subunit ribosomal RNA", at positions 84 to 334 of the family's 1533-position model. The record is from RNAcentral.